This 460-nucleotide ribosomal RNA is filed under the name uncultured bacterium. Its description in RNAcentral is "partial 16S ribosomal RNA". It matches the Rfam family "Bacterial small subunit ribosomal RNA", at positions 338 to 795 of the family's 1533-position model. The record is from RNAcentral.
CCUACGGGAGGCAGCAGUGAGGAAUAUUGGUCAAUGGCCGUAAGGCUGAACCAGCCAAGUAGCGUGAGGGAAGACUGCCCUAUGGGUUGUAAACCUCUUUUAUGCGGGGAUAAAGGUGUCCACGUGUGGAUGUUUGCAGGUACCGCAUGAAUAAGGACAGGCUAAUUCCGUGCCAGCAGCCGCGGUACUACGGAAGAGACGGGCGUUGUCCGGUUUGGUUGGGUUUAAAGGGAGCGUAGGCCGGUCUUUAAGCUUGCCGUGAAAUUUUGGGGCUCAACCUUGGGAGUGCGGGGCGUACUGGAGACCUGGAGUGCGCGGAAGGCAGGCGGAAUUCGUGGUGUAGCGGUGAAAUGCGUAGAUAUCACGAAGAACCCCGAUUGCGAAGGCAGCCUGCCGCAGCGUUACUGACGCUGAAGCGCGAAAGCGCGGGUAUCGAACAGGAUUAGAUACCCUAGUAGUC